GACGAACGCUGGCGGCGUGCUUAACACAUGCAAGUCGAGCGGUAAGGCCCUUUCGGGGGUACACAAGCGGCGAACGGGUGAGUAACACGUGGGUGACCUGCCCUCAGCUCUGGGAUAAGCCUGGGAAACCGGGUCUAAUACCGGAUAUGACUCCAUGACGCAUGUUGUGGGGUGGAAAGCCUUGUGCGGCUGAGGAUGGGCCCGCGGCCUAUCAGCUUGUUGGUGGGGUGAUGGCCUACCAAGGCGACGACGGGUAGCCGGCCUGAGAGGGCGACCGGCCACACUGGGACUGAGACACGGCCCAGACCUCCGUACGGGAGGCAGCGAGGUGGGGAAUCUUGCGCAAGUGGGACGAAAGCCUGACGCAGCGACGCCG
Molecule: ribosomal RNA, 376 nt
Filed under: uncultured bacterium
Lineage: Bacteria
Description: bacterial SSU rRNA
Rfam family: Bacterial small subunit ribosomal RNA
Source: RNAcentral